UACAGGGGGUGCAAACGUUGCUCGGAAUUAUUGGGCGUAAAGCGCGCGUAGGCGGCCACUUAAGUCGGAUGUGAAAGCCCUGGCUCAACUGGGGAAGUGCACCCGAAGCUGAAUGGCUUGAAUGCAAAAGAGGGUCGCGGAAUUCCCGGUGUAGAGGUGAAAUUCGUAGAUAUCGGGAGGAACACCGGUGGCGAAGGCGGCGACCUGGGUUGACAUUGACGCUGAGGCGCGAAAGCGUGGGGAGCGAACAGG
Molecule: ribosomal RNA, 252 nt
Filed under: uncultured bacterium
Lineage: Bacteria
Description: partial 16S ribosomal RNA
Rfam family: Bacterial small subunit ribosomal RNA
Source: RNAcentral